AAAAAUUUAGUUAAAAACUAUAACAAUAGCUUGUCAAGCUAUAAUUAUUAAAUAUAAUAAUUUUUA
Molecule: transfer RNA, 66 nt
Filed under: Scolytinae sp. BMNH 1040331
Lineage: Eukaryota; Metazoa; Arthropoda; Insecta; Coleoptera; Curculionidae
Description: tRNA-Asp
Source: RNAcentral